RNAcentral lists this ribosomal RNA (656 nucleotides) under uncultured fungus. Its description in RNAcentral is "LSU rRNA". It matches the Rfam family "Eukaryotic large subunit ribosomal RNA", at positions 23 to 664 of the family's 3401-position model. The record is from RNAcentral. Lineage: Eukaryota; Fungi.
ACCCGCUGAACUUAAGCAUAUCAAUAAGCGGAGGAAAAGAAACUAACAAGGAUUCCCCUAGUAACGGCGAGUGAAGCGGGAAAAGCUCAAAUUUAAAAUCUGGCGGUCUACGGCCGUCCGAGUUGUAAUCUAGAGAGGUGUUUUCCGUGCCGGACCGUGUAAAAGUCCCUUGGAACAGGGCGUCAUAGAGGGUGAGAAUCCCGUCCAUGACACGGACUACCGGUGCUCUGUGAUACACCUUCAAAGAGUCGAGUUGUUUGGGAAUGCAGCUCAAAAUGGGUGGUAAAUUCCAUCUAAAGCUAAAUAUAGGCGAGAGACCGAUAGCGAACAAGUACCGUGAGGGAAAGAUGAAAAGAACUUUGGAAAGAGAGUUAAACAGUACGUGAAAUUGUUGAAAGGGAAACACUUGAAGUCAGUCGCGUCUGCUGGGACUCAACCUUGCUUUUGCCUGGUGUACUUCUCAGUAGAUGGGCCAGCAUCAAUUUUGGGCGCCGGAAAAGGAUUUGAGGAAUGUGGCAGCUUGCUGUGUUAUAGCCUCUUGUCGUACACGGUGCUUGGGAUUGAGGACUGCAGCACGCCUUUUGGUCGGGGUUCUCCCACGCCACGUGCUUAGGAUGCUGGCGUAAUGGCUUUAAAUGACCCGUCUUGAAACACGG